GGCUGCAUUGCAGUGAUGAAACAAAGGCCUGAACUGUCUUAUACAGAAAGAAUCAGAUCCUAUAAAGACAAAAAAUGGCUAAAGCAGGGCUGGGAUGGACUUCAUGUGCCAGUUCAGAAACCUCAUGUCAAUCAUGAGACAAAAGUCCAUCUGAGUUGCUCUCUGCUGCCUGACACGCAAUAUGAUGCCCUGGACUGACCUGCCCCAUUACAAAAGGCUCAUCCAGCUCCAUCCAGCACCUUGGUGGGAUGCAGGCUUUAAGCAGAACAGGUCUCAAGGGGCCCUAAUCUGUGACGUGUGAUGAGAAAACUUACUGAGUACAUGGAUAGAAUCAGCUGCUUGCUCUCCUGCCCUCCACCCCAACAUAUCUGUAGUAUUCUGAAAAUGCAGGUGGGUGAGAAGCCCUUGUUUGAUACAGGGGCCAGAAGAGUGAGCCAGGAAGUGGGGAGCACUGCUUCACUUCCCUUCUCAGCAGAAGACGCAAACCUGCAGCAUCAGAGAGUGUGUAACAAUCCAGCUGCGUGCCUGGGAGAGGGCAGGAAAGAAAAGAGCAGGGCUGAAACAGCUAUCCUGAAGAUGCGGGAGAGGGGGGGGCCUCUGGGCUAGUGCUGAUAUGUCAGUAAUCUGCUUCUGCUUUCAGGUUUGUUUCAGCAAACACCGAGCGAGGAGGCAGCUCAGCCACCGGCCCUGCACCCAGCGCUGACAGGAACACUGCGGCAAGUGACGUCAGGGCAGCUGCGUGUCCUCAUCUGCAGGGCACGGCCUGCUGACGUGCGGCCCUCCUGUGCCAUCAGUCACGCGUGCUACAUUCCGACAGAAGAGGGCCUCCCAGCUUCACCUUCAGCGAGGCGGGUCCUGAGGUGUGGGGGUAGGAGCGCCAACGUGUUCUGAUCGAGUAAAGCGGAAAGAAAAGAAGAAACUCUGAGGCUGCUCUUGAGUUCAGAUUCAGCUGUACAGCCUAGCUGAAGCCCAGCACGAGAUAGAAGCAGUGUGAGGACAUGCCAUGCAUUAGCCUUCCCCCAGCAAUGUGAGGAGACACCUUGCAAUAGUAUGUGCCAGAACAAAACAGUAUGAGGACACCCCAUGCGUGAGCAUUCUCCCAGCUUCUUCAUGGCCAAAUGAGUCAGUGUGAGGGUGUGUAGCCCAGGCCACUCACAGUGAGCCAAGAGUUAGAUCUUCCAAAGCAAUGUGGCUGCAGCAGCCAGUCUAAUUUUAA
Molecule: long non-coding RNA, 1216 nt
Filed under: Gallus gallus (chicken)
Lineage: Eukaryota; Metazoa; Chordata; Aves; Galliformes; Phasianidae
Description: long non-coding RNA NONGGAT003845
Source: RNAcentral